Long non-coding RNA from Temnothorax curvispinosus, 321 nucleotides. RefSeq lists it as uncharacterized. The record is from RefSeq and is a predicted model, not a curated record. NCBI's taxonomy places the organism in Eukaryota, Metazoa, Arthropoda, Insecta, Hymenoptera, Formicidae. The transcript is spliced from 3 exons.
GCGAGUUUCGCGUGUGUUAAAUCGUGCGACGUGCGACGUGACGUGUGUUCGCGUGGUGUCUCGCGAGAUAUACCGAUGAAUUUAAUGUUCGAGAAGAUCUGAUGGGAUUAGCUAUUGGUGCUCAUGAUGCAAAUAUUCAACAAGCGUGAAAAAUUGAUGACAUUACAAAUAUAGUUAGAAGAAAAUUCAUGCACAUUUAAGAUAUAUAGAGAGACGCAUGAAGCUGUUAAAAAAGACCGAUCUAUGCAGGAAUACAGCGGUAACCUAAAAAUAGAUAAGUGACAGUGUGACAGUCGUGACCAUCGCCGCGUGAUAGAUGAU